ACACAUUCUAGAGCCUAAUUCAUUUCAAUUAACAAUUAAAAUUACACUCAAAUCCAAAUUCUAAACCUUAAUGCUAAAGUUCAUCCUUAAAUAAAUUUAUUGUAAUCCAUCACUACUUAAAUAAGCUGCACCUUGAUCUGAUUUUUAAUAUAAUAAUAUAUUCAAAUUAUAUAUUUCCAAAAAUAAUUAACAACGACGAUAUACAAGCAAAACUUAAGUUUUAUUAAUCGUGGAUUAUCGAUUACAGGACAGAUUCCCCUGAUUGGAAUAAAAAACCGCCAAAUUUUUUGAUUUUAAAGAACAUAACUUAUAUUCAUCAGGCAUAACUUUCCACACCUAGAAUAAUGGGGUAUCUAAUCCCAGUUUAUUGUCUAGAUUUCUUAACCUCAUGAUCAAAAAUUUAAUUAAAUAAAAAAUAGGAUUUCACCCAAUAUUUCACCAAAAUAAAAAUCAAUUCUCAUUAAUUAAGUAUAUUAACCGAAAAAAAAAUAGUAGUAUUAUUUGUGUAACCGCA
Molecule: ribosomal RNA, 514 nt
Filed under: Dematochroma sp. JGZ-60d
Lineage: Eukaryota; Metazoa; Arthropoda; Insecta; Coleoptera; Chrysomelidae
Description: partial 12S ribosomal RNA
Source: RNAcentral